RNAcentral lists this ribosomal RNA (400 nucleotides) under uncultured bacterium. RNAcentral's name for it is "bacterial SSU rRNA". It matches the Rfam family "Bacterial small subunit ribosomal RNA", at positions 362 to 757 of the family's 1533-position model. The record is from RNAcentral.
UUUUGGACAAUGGGCGCAAGCCUGAUCCAGCAAUGCCGCGUGAGUGAAGAAGGCCUUCGGGUUGUAAAGCUCUUUUGUCAGGGAAGAAACGGUGAGCUCUAAUACAGUUUGCUAAUGACGGUACCUGAAGAAUAAGCACCGGCUAACUACGUGCCAGCAGCCGCGGUAAUACGUAGGGUGCAAGCGUUAAUUGGAAUUACUGGGCGUAAAGCGUGCGCAGGCGGUUAUGUAAGUCAGAUGUGAAAUCCCCGGGCUCAACCUGGGAAUGGCAUUUGAGACUGCAUGGCUAGAGUGUGUCAGAGGGGGGUAGAAUUCCACGUGUAGCAGUGAAAUGCGUAGAGAUGGGAGGAAUACCGAUGGCGAAGGCAGCCCCCUGGGAUAACACUACGCUCAUCACAGA